RNAcentral lists this transfer RNA (76 nucleotides) under Candidatus Yanofskybacteria bacterium RIFCSPHIGHO2_01_FULL_44_22. Its description in RNAcentral is "tRNA-Thr". It matches the Rfam family "tRNA". From Rfam's summary of the family: Transfer RNA (tRNA) molecules are approximately 80 nucleotides in length. Their secondary structure includes four short double-helical elements and three loops (D, anti-codon, and T loops). The record is from RNAcentral. Lineage: Bacteria; Candidatus Yanofskyibacteriota.
GCCACCUUAGCUCAGUUGGUAGAGCAGCACUUUCGUAAAGUGAAGGUCCCCAGUUCGAAUCUGGGAGGUGGCUCCA